CAUAUGGGUAGGGCUUCACACGUCAUACAAUGGUACAUACAGAGCGCCGCCAACCCGCGAGGGGGAGCUAAUCGCAGAAAGUGUAUCGUAGUCCGGAUUGUAGUCUGCAACUCGACUACAUGAAGUUGGAAUCGCUAGUAAUCGCGGAUCAGCAUGUCGCGGUGAAUACGUUCCCGGGUCUUGUACACACCGCCCGUCACACCAUGGGAGCGGGUUUACCAGAAGUAGGUAGCUUACCGCAAGGAGGGCGCUUACCACGGUAGGAUUCGUGACU
RNAcentral lists this ribosomal RNA (274 nucleotides) under uncultured bacterium. RNAcentral describes it as "partial 16S ribosomal RNA". It matches the Rfam family "Bacterial small subunit ribosomal RNA", at positions 1201 to 1476 of the family's 1533-position model. The record is from RNAcentral.